Molecule: ribosomal RNA, 377 nt
Filed under: uncultured bacterium
Lineage: Bacteria
Description: bacterial SSU rRNA
Rfam family: Bacterial small subunit ribosomal RNA
Source: RNAcentral
UAAUACGUAGGGGGCGAGCGUUGUCCGGAAUUACUGGGCGUAAAGCGCACGUAGGUGGUACGUCAAGUUCGGCGUGAAAUCUCCAGGCUCAACUUGGAGGGGUCGUCGAAGACUGGCGAACUAGGGUCUGGCAGAGGCAGGUAGAAUUCCCGGUGGAGCGGUGAAAUGCGUAGAGAUCGGGAGGAAUACCAGUGGCGAAGGCGGCCUGCUGGGCCACGACCGACACUGAGGUGCGAAAGCGUGGGGAGCGAACCGGAUUAGAUACCCGGGUAGUCCACGCCCUAAACGAUGGGUACUAGGCGUGGGGGGUAUCGACCCCCUCUGUGCCGAAGCUAACGCGAGAAGUACCCCGCCUGGGGAGUACGGCCGCAAGGUUG